GGAGGGUCCAAGCGUUAUCCGGAAUCAUUGGGUUUAAAGGGUCCGUAGGCGGCCUUAUAAGUCAGUGGUGAAAUCUCCUAGCUCAACUAGGAAACUGCCAUUGAUACUGUAAGGCUUGAAUUUUUGUGAAGUAACUAGAAUAUGUAGUGUAGCGGUGAAAUGCUUAGAUAUUACAUGGAAUACCAAUUGCGAAGGCAGGUUACUAACAAACGAUUGACGCUGAUGGACGAAAGCGUGGGGAGCGAAC
This 247-nucleotide ribosomal RNA is filed under the name uncultured Flavobacterium sp. Its description in RNAcentral is "partial 16S ribosomal RNA". It matches the Rfam family "Bacterial small subunit ribosomal RNA", at positions 527 to 773 of the family's 1533-position model. Lineage: Bacteria; Pseudomonadati; Bacteroidota; Flavobacteriia; Flavobacteriales; Flavobacteriaceae. The record is from RNAcentral.